Molecule: non-coding RNA, 73 nt
Organism: Megalops atlanticus (tarpon)
Lineage: Eukaryota; Metazoa; Chordata; Actinopteri; Elopiformes; Megalopidae
Source: the annotation of a GenBank genome assembly
GCCUGGAUAGCUCAGUCGGUAGAACAUGAGCCUUUUAAUCUGAGGGUCCGCGGUUCAAGUCCCUGGUCGGGCG